CUCACAGGUCAGUCAGUCACAGAGCCUUCUACUCACAGGUCAGUCAGUCACAGAGCCUUCUACUAACAGGUCAGUCACAGAGCCUUCUACUCACAGGUCAGUCAGUCACAGAGCCUUCUACUCACAGGUCAGUCAGUCACAGAGCCUUCUACUAACAGAUCAGUCAGUCACAGAGCCUUCUACUCACAGGUCAGUCAGUCACAGAGCCUUCUACUCACAGGUCAGUCACAGAACCUUCUACUAACAGGUCAGUCAGUCACAGAGCCUUCUACUUACAGCUGUAGCAGUUUUAAUGUUGUAUUGUGGUUGUUUAGGUGUUGUAUUGUGGUUGUUUAGGUGUUGUAUUGUGGUUGUGUUGUAUUGUGUAGGUGUUGUAUUGUGGUUGUUUAGGUGUUGUAUUGUGGUUGUUUAUGUGUUGUAUUGUGGUUGUUUAGGUGUUGUAUUGUGGUUGUAUUGUAUUGUGGUUGUUUAGGUGUUGUAUUGUAUUGUGGUUGUAUUGUGGUUGUUUAGGUGUUGUAUUGUGGUUGUUUAGGUGUUGUAUUGUGGUUGUGUUGUAUUGUGGUUGUUUAGGUGUUGUGUUGUAUUGUGGUUGUUUAGGUGUUGUAUUGUGGUUGUUUAGGUGUUGUAUUGUGGUUGUUUAGGUGUUGUAUUGUGGUUGUUUAGGUGUUGUAUUGUGGUUGUUUAGGUGUUGUAUUGUGGUUGUUUAGGUGUUGUAUUGUGGUUGUUUAGGUGUUGUAUUGUGGUUGUUUAGGUGUUGUAUUGUGGUUGUUUAGGUGUUGUAUUGUGGUUGUUUAGGUGUUGUAUUGUGGUUGUGUUGUAUUGUGGUUGUUUAGGUGUUGUAUUGUGGUUGUUUAGGUGUUGUAUUGUGGUUGUUUAGGUGUUGUAUUGUGGUUGUUUAGGUGUUGUAUUGUGGUUGUUUAGGUGUUGUAUUGUGGUUGUUUAGGUGUUGUAUUGUGGUUGUUUAGGUGUUGUAUUGUGGUUGUUUAGGUGUUGUAUUGUGGUUGUGUUGUAUUGUGGUUGUUUAGGUGUUGUAUUGUGGUUGUGUUGUAUUGUGGUUGUUUAGGUGUUGUAUUGUGGUUGUGUUGUA
This is a long non-coding RNA of Oncorhynchus keta (chum salmon), 1087 nucleotides long. RefSeq lists it as uncharacterized. NCBI's taxonomy places the organism in Eukaryota, Metazoa, Chordata, Actinopteri, Salmoniformes, Salmonidae. The transcript is spliced from 4 exons. The record is from RefSeq and is a predicted model, not a curated record.